Long non-coding RNA from Helianthus annuus (common sunflower), 275 nucleotides. RefSeq lists it as uncharacterized. The transcript has 3 exons. NCBI's taxonomy places the organism in Eukaryota, Viridiplantae, Streptophyta, Magnoliopsida, Asterales, Asteraceae. The record is from RefSeq and is a predicted model, not a curated record.
AAAACAUUCUGGCGUCAAUAAGAAUGAUGAAGCUUCGGUGUAAUUGAAAUCAGGAAACAAGCAGAGCUAGGGAAUAUGACAAGCCCGGAUCUGAUAGGUUUGCUUCUGUAUGGUUGCAAUCGGUGGAUGAAGAUGCAAAUCAGAUGAAGAUGGAGUGAUGGAGAUGACAAGCAAAACUUUGCAGAUCUGAGUUUUUAUGGUUGUAAACCCUAUAUUGUUUUACGAAUCUUCUAAUUUGUUUUCGAAAUUUUUGAUUUUUUAAGUUGUUUAGUGGA